Molecule: ribosomal RNA, 422 nt
Filed under: uncultured prokaryote
Description: bacterial SSU rRNA
Rfam family: Bacterial small subunit ribosomal RNA
Source: RNAcentral
UGAGGAAUAUUGGUCAAUGGGCGCAAGCCUGAACCAGCCAUCCCGCGUGAAGGAUGAAGGUCCUAUGGAUUGUAAACUUCUUUUAUACACCAAGAAAACUUCGGACGUGUCCGAAUCUGACGGUAGUGUAUGAAUAAGCACCGGCUAACUCCGUGCCAGCAGCCGCGGUCAUACGGAGGGUGCAAGCGUUAUCCGGAUUCAUUGGGUUUAAAGGGUGCGUAGGCGGCUUUUUAAGUCAGUGGUGAAAUCUUGCCGAUUAACGGUAAAAUUGCCAUUGAUACUGAAAAGCUUGAGUACAGUUGAGGUAGGCGGAAUGUGUAGUGUAGCGGUGAAAUGCUUAGAUAUUACACAGAACACCGAUGGCGAAGGCAGCUUACUAAACUGUUACUGACGCUGAUGCACGAAAGCGUGGGGAGCGAACA